UAGGGAAUCUUCCACAAUGGACGCAAGUCUGAUGGAGCAACGCCGCGUGAGUGAAGAAGGUUUUCGGAUCGUAAAGCUCUGUUGUUGGUGAAGAAGGAUAGAGGCAGUAACUGGUCUUUCUUUGACGGUAAUCAACCAGAAAGUCACGGCUAACUACGUGCCAGCAGCCGCGGUAAUACGUAGGUGGCAAGCGUUGUCCGGAUUUAUUGGGCGUAAAGCGAGCGCAGGCGGAAUGAUAAGUCUGAUGUGAAAGCCCACGGCUCAACCGGGGAACUGCAUCGGAAACUGUCAUUCUUGAGUGCAGAAGAGGAGAGUGGAAUUCCAUGUGUAGCGGUGGAAUGCGUAGAUAUAUGGAAGGACACCAGUGGCCAAGGCGGGUCUCUGGUCUGCAACUGACGCUGAGGCUCGAAAGCAUGGGUAGCGAACAGG
This 429-nucleotide ribosomal RNA is filed under the name bacterium. RNAcentral's name for it is "partial 16S ribosomal RNA". It matches the Rfam family "Bacterial small subunit ribosomal RNA", at positions 355 to 776 of the family's 1533-position model. The record is from RNAcentral.